GGGCUUGUGGUAGAAUGGCAAUACACGUCUUUCGGGUGGACGAGAUCCAGGUUCGAUUCCUGGCUGGCCUG
Molecule: non-coding RNA, 71 nt
Organism: Gongronella butleri
Lineage: Eukaryota; Fungi; Mucoromycota; Mucoromycetes; Mucorales; Cunninghamellaceae
Source: the annotation of a GenBank genome assembly